RNAcentral lists this ribosomal RNA (352 nucleotides) under uncultured bacterium. RNAcentral describes it as "partial 16S ribosomal RNA". It matches the Rfam family "Bacterial small subunit ribosomal RNA", at positions 338 to 683 of the family's 1533-position model. The record is from RNAcentral.
CCUACGUUGUGCUGCAGUAGGGAAUUUUCGUCAAUGGGCGCAAGCCUGAACGAGCACUGCCGCGUGAACGAGGAAGGUCUUCGGAUCGUAACGUUCUGUUGAAGGGGAAAAAGAGCGGAGAGAGGAAAUGGUCUCCGAUUGAUAUUACCCUUCGAGGAAGUCACGGCUAACUACGUGCCAGCAGCCGCGGUAAUACGUAGGUGGCGAGCGUUCUCCGGACUGAUUGGGCGUACAGGGUGCGUAGGCGGCCUGCUAAGUCUGGAGUGAAAGGUACCGGCUCAAACGGUACAGGCUCUGGAAACUGGCGGGCGAGAGAGCAGGAGAGGGCGGUGGAACGCCAGGUGUAGCGGUA